GACGAACGCUGGCGGCGUGCUUAACACAUGCAAGUCGAACGAUGAACCACUUCGGUGGGGAUUAGUGGCGAACGGGUGAGUAACACGUGGGCAAUCUGCCCUUCACUCUGGGACAAGCCCUGGAAACGGGGUCUAAUACCGGAUAACACUGCCACGGGCAUCUGUGGUGGUUAAAAGUUCCGGCGGUGAAGGAUGAGCCCGCGGCCUAUCAGCUUGUUGGUGAGGUAAUGGCUCACCAAGGCGACGACGGGUAGCCGGCCUGAGAGGGCGACCGGCCACACUGGGGACUGAGACACGGCCCAGACUCCUACGGGAGGCAGCAGUGGGGAAUUUUGGACAAUGGGGGCAACCCUGAUCCAGCCAUGCCGCGUGAGUGAAGAAGGCCUCGGUUGUAAG
Molecule: ribosomal RNA, 396 nt
Filed under: uncultured bacterium
Lineage: Bacteria
Description: bacterial SSU rRNA
Rfam family: Bacterial small subunit ribosomal RNA
Source: RNAcentral